UCUGGUCCUGCAAUUUUCCGCACUGGUUCCUGGCUUGACAGCUAACGAGCUGAAAACUUCUCUUUGUGAGCCUCAGAGGUAUGUAAUUGACUUAAGAGGAAUAACUGGCAUUUGUCCUUUUAUUUUUAUUUUUUUUUUGCAUGUAAAGUUAUGCCAUGCACUUAGAUCACCUUUACUGAAAUCUUACUUGGCAUAUUCAUUGCAUGCUUGGUUGCUGAAUUUUUCUUGCACAGAAGAGCACUGAUGACAGAAAAAAAAUUGCUGUGCCUUCCUAGUAUCUUCUUACAUUGCAGACUCCUCACAGUGUCCAAAACACAACAGCAGCAUUAGUACGAGUAGUUGAACUAACACAGCUGAUCUAAAAAUUAAUGACAAACUUAAUAUUUUAAAUUUGAACUUUGGAGAAAGCACUUCUCAAUUAGAAGGACAGAAAACCUCUUCUCCCUGCACGGUCUAGGCCUUCUGGAUACGUUUCACCUUGCAGUCCAAACAGCCUUCAGAAAGAAAAACACCAAAGUUUUGAAGAAAAGCCUGAGAAAAUGCACAAACCACUAGAAGCCCAUGUGGAAGGACUGUCACUUAAAAAUUUCAGUCUAGUGCAGAAGGACCAAGAAGCUCAGAUGAAUAAAUACCCCAGUUCUACCUCUCAAUCAUCUGGGUCACCAAAUGAGCCAGCCCAGUGCACUUGCCAGCUAAGAAACAAGUGGUCAAGUAUCUGGAAAUCUCACUUCAUUCUGCACUGAAAAAUUAAGAGAUCAUGAUCAGCCAUACUGACUUACUUCAGAUUAUGGAAAAGCACUAAAAAGAGUAAGCUGGAGGUCUCUAUGACCAAGAGCACGGGAGCAGAGAAGCCCAGGUGUCCCACCCUGCUGCACCAGAGGUGCACACACAAGGAGGCACCACUUUCUACGUUCAGCAGUUACGUUUAGAGGGGCUAUGUGGAGUGCCCUGCUCCCGGCAUCAUCGAAGGCUGAGUAUUCACCAGAGCAUCCCUUGCCAUGGAUGUCUCCCUACACAGCCCACAGACAGCACCAGAAUUUCCCAGAAACUGGCAGAAUCUGCAGUAUGGCAGGACUCAUCUAUAGGGGCUAAAAGAGAAAGCCUCAUCACCAGAAAGAAACCUGAAACCAUUCUUGUGUUCUUCCUUCUCUACGGGUAA
This is a long non-coding RNA of Parus major (Great Tit), 1159 nucleotides long. RefSeq lists it as uncharacterized. NCBI's taxonomy places the organism in Eukaryota, Metazoa, Chordata, Aves, Passeriformes, Paridae. The record is from RefSeq and is a predicted model, not a curated record. The transcript has 3 exons.